GCACUUCGUACCCGUUCUCGAAAAGAUAAAUAUGGUGGGUUACAGAAAGAAAAUUCUUCAUAAUAGCUUGAUGUUCAUCAUUCUUUUACAAACCGGAUUCACCAGAGCUGUAAAACAAGGGCGUUAUCAACGGGAGCUGCUAUUUGAUGGAGUUGUUCCAAAGAAUACCUCAUACUACUCUAAUGUCUUUGAGAGCUUAACCCACCUAGCCUGUGCCUGUAAAUGCUGCACAAACUAUCCAAUCUGUGUAGGAUAUUUGUAUAGUUCAAGCCUAAUGCGUUGCAGACUCCUCAGGAAAUUUUUGGGCGAAAGUGAAAGAGCAAACGACUACAAUGGGAGUGGAUGGGAAUACCGCAGCAUAGAAGUGAACAAUUUGGCUCUUCGCAAGGCGGUAAUUUCAAGUUCAAUUUCCCUAGUGGUAUCAAACACCACUCUUACGGCUUUUCCAAACGGACUAUGAGUAUCACCCUUGGCUAACUAUAAACUUAGGAGGACUGUCUAUCAUAAAAAAUGUAGUCCUCUACAACAGAAAAGACGAGCAUGGUCGUUGGCUGCACAAUGUGGAGAUAAGAGUCGGAAAUCCGUUCACUUGGUCGGAGAUGGAAUUAUGUGGCCUAUUCGUAGGACCGAGCCAAACUGGAAAAGUUCACACCAUAGAAUGCGGGACACUGCUUUAUGGAACGUACGUCACCGCAAAAAUGGUCGAGCUAAACUACAUAUCAGACGAUCUAGUUACUAGUGUAGGAAAAGAUAUUCUAGUGUUGGAAGAAAUUGUCGUCAAUGGACUUUUUGUCUAGAUGAAAUAUUAGACCCAAGCCUUUGUAUUCCUUUGCUUAAUUGCAGGAAAUAUAAUUUUCAAUGCAACAUUAUUAAGUAUAAGGACAACGAAAACCUUACCAUAAUCAUCCAGUAUAAGAAUAAGAAGGAAUCUGUAACAAUCUUCAUCUACAAGUUAACGCUCUACACUCGCCAUGUGUAUUUGUCAUUUGUUGUGAUAAAACUUGAGAACAAAAACGAAAAAUAAGAUAACUUUUAUGGUAGAUAUGUGAGUACACGUUUGUUAUCAUGGUUAUAUUUUCAUCAGGAGAAUUAAACAGAAAUAUUUCUAAUCCUUUACACAUGGUUUACAGCAUGGUUCUCAUAUUCCUUAUAAUAGCACAGUUUGGAUUUGCUAAACAGAUAUUACAUAUUAAAAUUUACUGAUGAAAUAAUUCAGUCGUGCGUUGGUCCUAAACUCAAUCUCUCAUUGCUUGCGUUAUGAUAUAUUUCAUUAUGCACGUCAUCAUCCACAUAAGAAAGAACAAAAUCACUAAUUUUAUGGAACAUGAUUAUCGUUGCUGUUUCGACAUUGACGGUAGAGUAAAACUUAUACGGUGCCAAUUUUGAUGCACCAGAAGCGCAUUUCAACAAAUAAAGUCUCUUCAGCUAUGCUCAAGCCGACAAUUUUGGAAAUCCGAAAUGUCAAUAAACUUUUAAGAGGUAAAAGGAAAAACAGAAUGUCGAAGACUGGUAGUGUAUUGAAUUCAAAUCUUUCACAAAAUGAAACGUUGAACACCUAUGCUGCAAAGAGGGAAAUUUCUAUCAUGAAAGGUGAAUAUAAUGAACAGCGAUCAAUAUCCUAUCUCCUGUAAGCAAUACAAAAUAGAGAGUUCGGCAAAAAUAUCCAAGUACCCGUCUUUACCCAACUCUUUGCAUUUCUUUUGUUUAUAAUACUUAUAGUUAUUUCGGAUUUCAAACAUUUCGGUUGAGCAUCACUGAAGAGACAUUAUUUGUCGAAAUUCGCAUCUGGUGCAUCAAAAUUGGUACCGUAUAAGUUUUACAUGAGACUGAUCACUGUUCGUUAUUUUCACC
Ostrea edulis (European flat oyster) is the source of this 1851-nucleotide RNA transcript. RefSeq lists it as uncharacterized. The record is from RefSeq and is a predicted model, not a curated record. Lineage: Eukaryota; Metazoa; Mollusca; Bivalvia; Ostreida; Ostreidae. The transcript has 3 exons.